AAUAUUUCAUAUAUAUAUAUAAUAUUUUAAAGAAUUAUUAAAUUUAUUCUUAAAUAAAAGUUAUUCAACAACUUGUGUGUGGAAAUUUAGGACCACAUUGGGUAUUGUACAGUAUGAUCUGUUUCUCUAAUCCAAUUGUAUACCUUUUUCAGUUAGCUAUUAAAGUGGCAUAGAAAUUCAAUCUUUUUUUCACCAUCUGAUUUUGUUGGUAUUGCAAUUAUCUUCAUUAUCUGAACUGUGAAACAUGGUCACAACUCACAGAAUUUACAAUUUUAAAUAUUAAAUAACACUAGUUUCAUCUUGAUACAAAAUUCUCCACUGUAGCUUAAUGUUACUUUCCAAGUUGACAUUCUGAAUGACAAGAUAUUCUAAUGUCCACUAUAGGCUGAUCAGUUGGAAGAUGGAGUUUAACAAGCUGGACUCUGAUUCUUCCAGAAAAUAUUUAUGCAGGUGUGGGACCCAGGAGUUGAACAUUGAUCCUCCACUCUUCUGUCACAACUUUCCAAUACAAAGAUUAACACUUAACAAGUAUUUCUUAACUAUACUUAUUAAUAAUCCAGGACCUUUAAUAAUAAUGCACUUUAAAUUAAAAGAAGAGCAUGACAAAACAGUGGAAAUCUAUGAAAUUGUGAAUUACUAGUUUUAGAAACAUGUUGCCAGAUUGUGGGAUAUUUAAAGCAUAUCCAUUUGACAAAAAACAGUGUUGCUUUAGUCUUUUAUUUUAAAAUCAUCAUAAGAACAUUACAUUUUUCUUUCAUACAUUUAAAAAAAAUUGAGAUAUUGUCCUGAGGAGGAUUUGCCCAUGAGAGCAACUUGAGUGGAAACUCAAAAUAAGAAAAAUUUUCUUCUAAAAUUUCUCCUAUAAUUGUUAGCAGCUAUAUUUAGCUUAAUAAAAAUGAAAUAAGGAAAAUUGUGAAUUUUUCUUAUUUUAUUUUUUUAAAUCUUGAGAGGAAAAUUAUGAGAGAGACUAUUUUGUAACUAAAUACGGUUUUGUAAAUAAUUUACAAAAUUUUAUAUUCUACCUGAAUAUGAUAAUUGUUGUGUAUGGC
This 1049-nucleotide long non-coding RNA is filed under the name Androctonus crassicauda. The record is from RNAcentral. Lineage: Eukaryota; Metazoa; Arthropoda; Arachnida; Scorpiones; Buthidae.